This is a non-coding RNA of Salvia hispanica, 511 nucleotides long. NCBI's taxonomy places the organism in Eukaryota, Viridiplantae, Streptophyta, Magnoliopsida, Lamiales, Lamiaceae. The record is from RefSeq and is a predicted model, not a curated record.
UCUAGCUACAAAUAUCACGAGAAACAAAAUGAAAACUAAUUACGCCCUUUGGUUUAUGGUGGUGCUUCUAGUAUUGGGUUUGGGCUCCGAAAAGGCAGAGGGAAGUCCAUGCGUAUCGGCGAGUUCAACAUAUGGGGGUCCAUGUGUGAACCACACUGCUCAAUGCCAGCAAGCUUGCCUCAAUGAGGGUUACACCUCCAGUUUCUGCGGCGGCUCCGACGGAAACCGUUGUUUCUGCACUAAACCCUCCUGCCGAUAGUUAUACAGCGUAGUGGGAAGCCAUGGGUAGAACUUGUUUAUCACCAAGUCAUAAAUUCAAAGGUCAAUGUUGGAGAGACCACAAUUGUAAGGUAAUUUGCAUGGGUGAAGGUUUUGAAGAAGGCAAAUGUGAAGGUUUACUACGUAAAUGUGUAUGUCUGAAAACUUGUUGAUAUUUUCCUAUGGAUUUAUCAAGCUAUAAUAAACGAUUUGUAUGUUGUUAUUUAUAAAUGAAAUAAAGUUGGCUUCUUCA